GAUGAACGCUGGCGGCGUGCCUAAUACAUGCAAGUCGAGCGAACAGAUAAGGAGCUUGCUCCUUUGACGUUAGCGGCGGACGGGUGAGUAACACGUGGGUAACCUACCUAUAAGACUGGGAUAACUUCGGGAAACCGGAGCUAAUACCGGAUAACAUUUUGAACCGCAUGGUUCUAAAGUGAAAGAUGGUUUUGCUAUCACUUAUAGAUGGACCCGCGCCGUAUUAGCUAGUUGGUAAGGUAACGGCUUACCAAGGCAACGAUACGUAGCCGACCUGAGAGGGUGAUCGGCCACACUGGAACUGAGACACGGUCCAGACUCCUACGGGAGGCAGCAGUAGGGAAUCUUCCGCAAUGGGCGAAAGCCUGACGGAGCAACGCCGCGUGAGUGAUGAAGGGUUUCGGCUCGUAAAACUCUGUUAUUAGGGAAGAACAAAUGUGUAAGUAACUGUGCACGUCUUGACGGUACCUAAUCAGAAAGCCACGGCUAACUACGUG
RNAcentral lists this ribosomal RNA (497 nucleotides) under uncultured bacterium. RNAcentral describes it as "partial 16S ribosomal RNA". It matches the Rfam family "Bacterial small subunit ribosomal RNA", at positions 28 to 507 of the family's 1533-position model. The record is from RNAcentral.